CUUGUGUCCCAGCGUCUGCCCAGUGAUUAAUAUGUUAAGCUCCAUAAAUGUUUAUUCAACGAGUAAAUUAGUGACUAGGUACUAAGUUCUUAUUCUUGUGUACAGUCACCUAUCAAAUCUUUCCACUCUUCUCUGGGCAAUUGGGGAAGCUAUGUAUAGAAAAUGGAAGAGUCUCUGUCAGCCUGGGUUACUAAGGGUGAACCUGAACUUUCUCUGAGUGAAAAAAAAAUCUAUUUUACUGAGCCACAGAGAUUUGGAUAUUCAUAUUUUAUAGCAGUAUUAACUAAUACAAGGUAUUUUUAACCUUUAAAAGAAAAGAAGAAAAAGUAGAAGUGAUACUAAUUUCCCAGAUGCCAUCCAACUCCUCUUUCACCAAUAGAUAGCAUUGAAAGGCGGGAAUCAGUGCCUCCUCCUAGUGAUAGUGCCUCAGUUGAGCAGGGCUUAUUCCGAACUCAGUAUGCAACAUCCCGACAGGGCAAAUCUAGGGAUUGCUCUCAAGUCACUAUCCAACAUCCCGAUGGGUUGAAUGGCAUGCCAAACACAGCAAUAAGCACUAUAAAAAAGCCAGGCCGCCCCGGGGUGGGGCCACGUGGCUUCAGACCAGAGAGCGGAGCUACCUUGGCCCAAGCGCUGCAGCUGCCUGAACCCCAGGGCUUCGCAGCCUUGCUUGUUUUCUCUGAACCGCAAUAGGACGGUGUUCACAGCGAUUCAAAGGGUGGCAUUGGGUUGGACGUUUUGGUUACGAGCCAGCCUAUUCCCACAUUGUACGUGAAUGUUUAAUGUGCUCUCAAAACAUGGAAAAUAAGUUUAGUGCACAUAGCUAAAUCACAAAACAUCCGAUUUCUGUUUCCUCAGGAAGUCAUUACUGCGCCACCACAUCACGUGACCUUAACAUGAUCAAUGUAUUUCUCUGCCUUGACAUUUAAAUAAACUAUAUAAAUUAAGAUAAGUAGAUUAGAAAAUCAUUCAAAUUAUACCAUAAUCUGUACAAAUAUUGUGUCCCCUGCCAGGCAAGGGACAGGGUGCGGGCGACGGCCGCGUGGCCAAGGCCCCGCAGGAAAGCGCCCAGGUCUCCCUCACUCUCCAGGUGCCCUUUGCACCCAACAGUGCGUGUGAGGAACGAACUGCUGUUUGAGCGUCCCCUGAGAUUGUGCGUAGCCCCGUGUAAAUGUAAUAGCCUCCAUGGCUUAAUUGGCUAGCAAGCGAAUUUUCCCAGAUGAAAGCAAUGUUGGGUUAGGGGACGACGGUGCAGCCACCCAGCCUUUACCAGCAGCGUGCUGCAGACGAAGGCAGUCAAGGUGUGGAGGUGAUCACGCAGGCGCAGGUCAGUUGCCGUGAUGCUCCUUGAGUCAAUGAGCUCUUUGGUCUGCUCUUCUGCUCAAGCAGAAAAUGAUCUGCGCUUCACCCUUGAGAAGCUGACAAGAACCACAGGCUUCUUCAGGCUCUAGCCUGAUUUUCUGGCUCAUAAGGCCAAAGGGAGCUGGAAAGGUCCCCACGGCAGGACUCAUGGUGGAGAGAGAAUGAUCUAGAGGAUUCAGGCCUCUGCACACUGUGUCUGGGUCCCUCCUUAAAGAAUGAUAAAGACAAGUAAAGAGCUUGAAGCAGCCUGGAGUCCAGCCAGAAACCUUUAACUGAGCUUUAAAGGAGAUGGUCACAACACUUUUCAGAAUACUGGCAAAGGCCUCCUGUGGCCAAGUUUGUCCUGGGAUGAGCAAAAUUUAAUGUUAACCUGCUGUAUCUUUGCUUUUAAUAUAUCUGCUUGCCCAUCACAAUGAUAUUAUGGUUAAUUUCACCAAUUUGGUAACCUGCCUCUUGGGAAGUACGAAAGUAAGCAAGGGCCAGGUAUGGUGACUCACGCCUGUAAUCCCAGUACUUUGGGUGGCUGAGGUGGGUGGAUUGCUU
RNAcentral lists this long non-coding RNA (1902 nucleotides) under Homo sapiens (human). Its description in RNAcentral is "HSALNT0357746". The record is from RNAcentral. Lineage: Eukaryota; Metazoa; Chordata; Mammalia; Primates; Hominidae.